Phlebotomus papatasi is the source of this 3356-nucleotide long non-coding RNA. RefSeq lists it as uncharacterized. NCBI's taxonomy places the organism in Eukaryota, Metazoa, Arthropoda, Insecta, Diptera, Psychodidae. The transcript is spliced from 2 exons. The record is from RefSeq and is a predicted model, not a curated record.
UUUUCUAAUUUGGUGCAUGGAAAGAGAAAUAUUAUUUUCUGAAGUUACAGUGAAUAAAAGGUAAUGCAAAAGUGAGUCUCAAGUGUCUUAGGUAUAAAAGACAAUGUUAGCUUGCGUGGAUAUAUCGUGAUUGUCCAGAAAAAUGAAAAAAAACCACUGAAGAAGUUCCACUCAAAUUUCUGCAUGAGAGCCCGGCAAGAACUCCCCAGAAUUCUUAAGCUCAAUCAUCUUUUCAGAGGAUUUGUGUGACUUUCUACAAACCAGGAGAUAAAUUUUCACAAAAAAAAAACGAUGGAUUUUUCAAUACUGACCACCGAUUUCCUAUUUUUGCCACCGUAGUUAUGAUCAAUCUUAUGAUCUUGUUUGAGCAAAUAUUGAAGUGUGUGACUGGUGAAGACAUCAUGGUUAUCCAGAAUCUCAUCAAAGACCCAAAAAUCAACCAUUGCACCAUCAAUUUAUGGGCCUUACUUCUCAAGAGAAGCCUGGUGCUAUAUUUUUUGACGGGGAGGUGAAAAACUCGAGAGAAAAUACAAAGCAAAGGAGACAUCAAUGUUUCAUCAAGAAAAGCUGGACCGUGGGGAUCAUUGACGGGGAGAAAAGUGCCAGAGGAAGUACAAUUCAGUAGUCUUCAAUAUAUUAUAUAAGAUAAUUUAACUACUUAUCACGACAACACGAAAACAAAUAAAUUUUUACAUGAUGAUAUGAAUUCCUGAGAAGACAGCAACCUUCUGGACAAUAUUUUUGUGAUUGUGACUAUGAGCGGACAGAAAUGAAAAUCUUCAAGAUGCAUUAUGACGUGGUUAAAGAGACUUCCCGCCGAGAUGGAAUCCAUGAACGCAAUCCGGCAGCAGAAUUUUCUACGACGACCAAAGUCUAACAAGGUAGUUGAAGCAGAUGAAAUCUCGAGACAGCACCUUCUGGACAAGAUUUUGUAAUUAUGACUAUGAGCGGACAGAAAUGAAAUCUUCAAGAUGCAUUAUGACGUGGUUAAAGAGACUUCCCGCCGAGAUGGAAUCCAUGAACGCAAUCCGGCAGCAGAAUUUCUACGACGACCAAAGUCUAACAAGGUAGUUGAAGCAGAUGAAAUCUCGAGACAGCACCUUCUGGACAAGAUUUUGUAAUUAUGACUAUGAGCGGACAGAAAUGAAAUCUUCAAGAUGCAUUAUGACGUGGUUAAAGAGACUUCCCGCCAAGAUGGAAUCCAUGAACGCAAUCCGGCAGCAGAAUUUCUACGACGACCAAAGUCUAACAAGGUAGUUGAAGCAGAUGAAAUCUCGAGACAGGACCUUCUGGACAAGAUUUUGUAAUUGUGACUAUGAGCGGACAGAAAUGAAAUCUUCAAGAUGCAUUAUGACGUGGUUAAAGAGACUUCCCGCCAAGAUGGAAUCCAUGAACGCAAUCCGGCAGCAGAAUUUCUACGACGACCAAAGUCUAACAAGGUAGUUGAAGCAGAUGAAAUCUCGAGACAGGACCUUCUGGACAAGAUUUUGUAAUUGUGACUAUGAGCGGACAGAAAUGAAAUCUUCAAGAUGCAUUAUGACGUGGUUAAAGAGACUUCCCGCCAAGAUGGAAUCCAUGAACGCAAUCCGGCAGCAGAAUUUCUACGACGACCAAAGUCUAACAAGGUAGUUGAAGCAGAUGAAAUCUCGAGACAGGACCUUCUGGACAAGAUUUUGUAAUUGUGACUAUGAGCGGACAGAAAUGAAAUCUUCAAGAUGCAUUAUGACGUGGUUAAAGAGACUUCCCGCCAAGAUGGAAUCCAUGAACGCAAUCCGGCAGCAGAAUUUCUACGACGACCAAAGUCUAACAAGGUAGUUGAAGCAGAUGAAAUCUCGAGACAGCACCUUCUGGACAAGAUUUUGUAAUUAUGACUAUGAGCGGACAGAAAUGAAAUCUUCAAGAUGCAUUAUGACGUGGUUAAAGAGACUUCCCGCCGAGAUGGAAUCCAUGAACGCAAUCCGGCAGCAGAAUUUCUACGACGACCAAAGUCUAACAAGGUAGUUGAAGCAGAUGAAAUCUCGAGACAGCACCUUCUGGACAAGAUUUUGUAAUUAUGACUAUGAGCGGACAGAAAUGAAAUCUUCAAGAUGCAUUAUGACGUGGUUAAAGAGACUUCCCGCCAAGAUGGAAUCCAUGAACGCAAUCCGGCAGCAGAAUUUCUACGACGACCAAAGUCUAACAAGGUAGUUGAAGCAGAUGAAAUCUCGAGACAGGACCUUCUGGACAAGAUUUUGUAAUUGUGACUAUGAGCGGACAGAAAUGAAAUCUUCAAGAUGCAUUAUGACGUGGUUAAAGAGACUUCCCGCCAAGAUGGAAUCCAUGAACGCAAUCCGGCAGCAGAAUUUCUACGACGACCAAAGUCUAACAAGGUAGUUGAAGCAGAUGAAAUCUCGAGACAGCACCUUCUGGACAAGAUUUUGUAAUUAUGACUAUGAGCGGACAGAAAUGAAAUCUUCAAGAUGCAUUAUGACGUGGUUAAAGAGACUUCCCGCCGAGAUGGAAUCCAUGAACGCAAUCCGGCAGCAGAAUUUCUACGACGACCAAAGUCUAACAAGGUAGUUGAAGCAGAUGAAAUCUCGAGACAGCACCUUCUGGACAAGAUUUUGUAAUUAUGACUAUGAGCGGACAGAAAUGAAAUCUUCAAGAUGCAUUAUGACGUGGUUAAAGAGACUUCCCGCCAAGAUGGAAUCCAUGAACGCAAUCCGGCAGCAGAAUUUCUACGACGACCAAAGUCUAACAAGGUAGUUGAAGCAGAUGAAAUCUCGAGACAGGACCUUCUGGACAAGAUUUUGUAAUUGUGACUAUGAGCGGACAGAAAUGAAAUCUUCAAGAUGCAUUAUGACGUGGUUAAAGAGACUUCCCGCCAAGAUGGAAUCCAUGAACGCAAUCCGGCAGCAGAAUUUCUACGACGACCAAAGUCUAACAAGGUAGUUGAAGCAGAUGAAAUCUCGAGACAGGACCUUCUGGACAAGAUUUUGUAAUUGUGACUAUGAGCGGACAGAAAUGAAAUCUUCAAGAUGCAUUAUGACGUGGUUAAAGAGACUUCCCGCCAAGAUGGAAUCCAUGAACGCAAUCCGGCAGCAGAAUUUCUACGACGACCAAAGUCUAACAAGGUAGUUGAAGCAGAUGAAAUCUCGAGACAGGACCUUCUGGACAAGAUUUUGUAAUUGUGACUAUGAGCGGACAGAAAUGAAAUCUUCAAGUCAAUAUCUUUUGAGAAGCCAAAUUAAAAUUGGAAGGAAUAUCUCCUCAGAAUGGUAUUAUUUCAUGUUAUAUAUUUGUGGUACAUCUUGGAAGCAAGAUGAUCAUCAGCUGUACCUUUUUCUAUGUAUAAUUAAGAGAGUUUUUCAAAGUCA